GAUGAACGCUGGCGGCGUGCCUAAUACAUGCAAGUCGAGCGAACGGACGAGAAGCUUGCUUCUCUGAUGUUAGCGGCGGACGGGUGAGUAACACGUGGAUAACCUACCUAUAAGACUGGGAUAACUUCGGGAAACCGGAGCUAAUACCGGAUGAUAUUUUGAACCGCAUGGUUCAAAAGUGAAAGACGGUCUUGCUGUCACUUAUAGAUGGAUCCGCGCUGCAUUAGCUAGUUGGUAAGGUAACGGCUUACCAAGGCAACGAUGCAUAGCCGACCUGAGAGGGUGAUCGGCCACACUGGAACUGAGACACGGUCCAGACUCCUACGGGAGGCAGCAGUAGGGAAUCUUCCGCAAUGGGCGAAAGCCUGACGGAGCAACGCCGCAUGAGUGAUGAAGGUCUUCGGAUCGUAAAACUCUGUUAUUAGGGAAGAACAUAUGUGUAAGUAACUGUGCACAUCUUGACGGUACCUAAUCAGAAAGCCACGGCUAGCUACGUG
This 497-nucleotide ribosomal RNA is filed under the name uncultured bacterium. RNAcentral describes it as "partial 16S ribosomal RNA". It matches the Rfam family "Bacterial small subunit ribosomal RNA", at positions 28 to 507 of the family's 1533-position model. The record is from RNAcentral.